Molecule: ribosomal RNA, 283 nt
Filed under: uncultured Actinomycetales bacterium
Lineage: Bacteria; Bacillati; Actinomycetota; Actinomycetes; Actinomycetales
Description: partial 16S ribosomal RNA
Rfam family: Bacterial small subunit ribosomal RNA
Source: RNAcentral
CGGUAAUACGUAGGGUGCGAGCGUUGUCCGGAAUUACUGGGCGUAAAGGGCUCGUAGGUGGUUUGUCGCGUCGUCUGUGAAAUUCCGGGGCUUAACUCCGGGCGUGCAGGCGAUACGGGCAUAACUUGAGUACUGUAGGGGUAACUGGAAUUCCUGGUGUAGCGGUGAAAUGCGCAGAUAUCAGGAGGAACACCGAUGGCGAAGGCAGGUUACUGGGCAGUUACUGACGCUGAGGAGCGAAAGCAUGGGUAGCGAACAGGAUUAGAUACCUGGUAGUCAAGGC